UAUUAUUCAAGUCGACUUAUCAAUGAUUUAAGGUGCCUUUCAAUACACCUAUGAAUACCCUACCCCUUGAGCCUUCUACUUGGGGAUCUCUGACCAUGGUGAUGAGGUGUUCAGCUUAAGAGGAAUGGUACUCAAGGUGCUACAUUUAAAGAACUACACCUGAGGAACUUCAUCCAGAUCUCAACAUGAUUUAAAUGAUGACACUCAGGAUUUCAACUAAAUAUUGUGAUUGAUGGGGCUUUUGUGACCUUUUCUAGGGAUGAAAGUAUUUUAAUUGUGGGAAAAAUGUAUAUGCUAUAUGUUCAGAGUGUAGAGUGUGUUUGUUUAAAAAAAUUUCUACGAAGUUUUUGAUAUUCUUCCCCUCAAAAGGUGGAAGAAUUAUUAAUUCUUAAUUUCUGUUAUCUGGCUUCUUAAUUAUGAAGCAUUUAAAGAAUUGCUUCAUAAUACAGUAUAGAUGACACAAUAUUACAAACUUAAACAUCAUAUUAAUAACAACAUUAAACUAUAUCAAUAAUUAUAUGUAAAGUAACUAAUAACUCCAAUUAGUCAUCAGUAAAAUGAAAGCUGAAAUCACUUCAUCCCAAUAAAAUGGUUAAAAUUCAAAAGACUGGAAAUACUAAAAUUCAAAGACUAAUUACAUGUCACAUUUGAGACUAGAUUACAAAAUGACUACUAUUUUUAUCAUUCUGUGUGUGUGUGUGUGUGUGUGUGUGUGUGUGUGUGUUUAUGUGUCUAUCUCCUUCUUUCCUGUAUUACUCAUUGUAGGGGAAGCUGUUUUGAAGAGCCUAUAGAACUGAAUCCUUAGGCUGAGAGAAAAGUGAAUGUGUUUGAAAGUAUAUUCCAGUUUUGUUUUUAAUUUCUCUUGGGUAAACACCUUGGAUAAGAAUUAUUGGAUUGUAUGGUAAAUGCAUGUUUAACAUUACGAGAAACUGUCAAAUUGUUUUCCAAAAGAGUUAGAUCAUUGUAUGCUCCCAGUGACAAUGAAUGGGAGUUGCAUUUGCUCCCCAUCCUCACGAUCACUUUGUAUUUCUGGUCUUUUGUUUCUUUUGUUUCUUAACCCAUUCAACUGGGGAUGAGGUAGUUUCAACUUGCACAUCUCUGAUGACUCAUUGGAGCAACUACCCAAUAGUAAUCAUUACUUAUUUAUAUGAUUUAAUGUAAUUAUUGAUGUUGUGUUUAGACAUGUCAUCUUCCUAUUUGUACCUUUUGCUUAUUUGCUGCUCUGUUGCUCUUUUCCUGUCUGCAUUUGGGGAAAUCAAAUAUACACCAGUGCCCCACUCUAUUUGUAACAUUGACGAUUACAGACCCACAUGCACACAAAUCUCCACAUGCAUGAUAUUCUCAGAUCUUUAAGUUAGUAUUUUUCAUCAAAAUUAGAAAUUUUUGACCAUAAUUUCUUUAAAUAUUUUUUCUGCUAACAUUGUACUUUCUUCUCUUACUGAUACUUCAGUUACAUAUAUGUUGGAUUGUAUGAUGUUGUGAUACUGGCCUCUGAGACUCUGUUUAUUUUUAAUUAAUAUUUCCCCUUCUAUCUUUUUCAGACUGGAAUAUUAUUUUCUAAGUUAUUUGGUAAAUACCUUUUUUUACUAUCUCCUUUUUGCUGCUAAAUCCAUUCAGUGCCUAUUUUCAUUUUCAUUAAUCUACCUUUCAGUUUUAGAGUUCUCAUUUAUUCUUUUAUCUCUGUUGUUAUUUCAUUCCUGCCUUCAUAUUACCAUCAUAUUUAACUUAUUUAAAAGUAAUUAUUAUAACUACCUUAAAGUCUUCAUAUUUUAGGUUCAGCAUCUCUUUCAUCUGUAGUUUGCUUUUUCUGUUUUCCCAUUCUUUGUUAUGGAUUUUUUAAAACAAAAAUCAUUAAUAUGGUGAUUUUGUAUUAAAUACCAGACACAUGAACAAUGCCUUGUGCAGGCUAGGGGUUUUUCUUCCUUCAAAGAGUUUUCAAUUUUAACACUGGUUGACCACCUUGAACUUUUCAAAUUACUGGUCAAACUUGUCUUGGCUCAGGCAAUGCUGUAUUAAGUGUAAAUCUAGGAAAGCUCAAAGCAUUUCCUAGGCCCCUAACUCAGUAUCCAAAUCCUGUGUCCUCUAACAAUCUUGUUAGGCUUGCUUUUGGACUUUGUUAAUGAGACUUGAGGAAGUCUCAUAGAAUAUGAAUAGACAGAGGCUCUCUGUCUAGAUUCAUUAGCAGUUUCACAGUGAUGUUAUUCUAAUUUUGUCAUUCUUUUCUGGUUCUACAAAAGAAACUUUCCCGAUCUACUAUUUUAAUACUCAUUAGUAUUGCUUGUAUAGAAAACACAUGAUAAAUGCUUCAAUCUUCCCCUUUAUUUGCCCAUUUUUUUUUUUCCAAAUAAUGAGUUUGUUCACAAUCUCCAACCAUUCCUAAAUGUUCUUUCUGAGCAGCAUCAUACUCUUCUGAUACCAGUUAUUCCAGAGAACUCUCUUAGGAUCUCUCAAUUUUUUUUCAGGGAAGUCAUUAUAAUGGUGGGAAAUCUUUUCUGCUCUGGCUGUUUUCUGAACCUCAGUCUACCCUUUAAAUGUUUUGAUAUCAAGGGGAAACUGAGAAGACUCAAAUUUAUAUCUUGUCUCACUUUCGUACUCUAUUUCUGGCUUCCAUUCGAAUCUACAUCCUCAUCCCUAUCCUGGUCUUCAUCCACAUUAUUGCAAAGAGAAUAGUCCUUAUGCUGGCUGUCAGUUUCGCUAAAUCUAUAACCCUGCUGAUAUUUAUAAAAUGUAAGUUUAACAAUAUCAUAUCUUUCUUUAUAUUAAAAUGGGAAUUUGGGAAAUUUAGAAAACUCCUUUUUUAAAAAUAAAAAAAUAAAGCUUGGAUUUUGAGAUUAUGCCUUUGAAGACAAAUCGACUUUAAAUUACAAAGAAAAUAAUCCUCUUUAUCAACUCAGU
RNAcentral lists this long non-coding RNA (2895 nucleotides) under Homo sapiens (human). Its description in RNAcentral is "HSALNT0180225". The record is from RNAcentral. Lineage: Eukaryota; Metazoa; Chordata; Mammalia; Primates; Hominidae.